AUGUCGCCGGCGGAGAUGGUCCAGGUGGAGGCGGCGGCGGAUCCUGAGGAGCGCGCCGCCUCCGGCGACCCCAAGGCCUGCGACGACUGCAACACCACCAAGACGCCGCUCUGGCGCGGCGGACCCAACGGACCAAAGUCGCUGUGCAACGCUUGCGGGAUCCGGUACCGGAAGAGGCGGCGGGUGGCCAUGGGGCUCGACCCGGAGGCCAAGCGGAAGCCCAAGAGGGACGACGCCAUCAAGGCUGCCGUUGCCGCAGCCGAGGCCGCCCAGGCUUCUAGCAAGGAGGAGGAGGAGGAGGAGGAGGACAAGGCCAAGGCCGGCGAGGAGAAGGCCGGCGAGGAGAAGGCGAGCAAGAAGACUAAGGCGAGGACGACGCACACCGUUGAGCUCCACAUGGUGGGCUUUGCCAAGGACGCGGUGCUGAAGCAGCAGCGGCGGCGGCGACAGAUGCGGCGGAGGAAGCCGUCGUGCCUGGGCGAGGAGGAGCGGGCCGCCAUUCUCCUCAUGUCGCUCUCAUCAGGCGUAAUAUACGCCUGA
Molecule: ribosomal RNA, 540 nt
Filed under: Triticum aestivum (bread wheat)
Lineage: Eukaryota; Viridiplantae; Streptophyta; Magnoliopsida; Poales; Poaceae
Description: partial small subunit ribosomal RNA
Source: RNAcentral